GCUUCCUUGGCUCAGUUGGUAGAGCGUUGGUCUCAUAGGUUAUAUAUGAGUGGCUGGAUCAGUUGCGCAAUCCAAAGGUCGCCAGUUCGAGCCUGGCAGGGAGCA
Molecule: non-coding RNA, 105 nt
Organism: Rhizoctonia solani
Lineage: Eukaryota; Fungi; Basidiomycota; Agaricomycetes; Cantharellales; Ceratobasidiaceae
Source: the annotation of a RefSeq genome assembly